AUACGGAGGGUCCGAGCGUUAUCCGGAAUCAUUUGGUUUAAAGGGUUCGUAGGCGGGUCAAUAAGUCAGAGGUGAAAUCUUGCAGCUUAACUGUAAAAUUGCCUUUGAUACUGUUGACCUUGAAUUACUGUGAAGUGGUUAGAAUAUGUAGUGUAGCGGUGAAAUGCUUAGAGAUUACAUAGAAUACCGAUUGCGAAGGCAGAUCACUAACAGUAUAUUGACGCUGAUGAACGAAAGCGUGGGUAGCGAACGGGAUUAGAAACCCGUGUAGUCC
This 274-nucleotide ribosomal RNA is filed under the name uncultured bacterium. RNAcentral's name for it is "partial 16S ribosomal RNA". It matches the Rfam family "Bacterial small subunit ribosomal RNA", at positions 523 to 796 of the family's 1533-position model. The record is from RNAcentral.